Molecule: ribosomal RNA, 811 nt
Filed under: Collariella pachypodioides
Lineage: Eukaryota; Fungi; Ascomycota; Sordariomycetes; Sordariales; Chaetomiaceae
Description: eukaryotic LSU rRNA
Rfam family: Eukaryotic large subunit ribosomal RNA
Source: RNAcentral
UUGCCCUAGUAACGGCGAAGUGAAGCGGCAACAGCUCAAAUUUGAAAUCUGGCUUCGGCCCGAGUUGUAAUUUGUAGAGGAAGCUUUAGGCGCGGCACCUUCUGAGUCCCCUGGAACGGGGCGCCAUAGAGGGUGAGAGCCCCGUAUAGUUGGAUGCCUAGCCUGUGUAAAGCUCCUUCGACGAGUCGAGUAGUUUGGGAAUGCUGCUCAAAAUGGGAGGUAAAUUUCUUCUAAAGCUAAAUAUUGGCCAGAGACCGAUAGCGCACAAGUAGAGUGAUCGAAAGAUGAAAAGCACUUUGAAAAGAGGGUUAAAUAGCACGUGAAAUUGUUGAAAGGGAAGCGCUUGUGACCAGACUUGCGCCGGGCGGAUCAUCCGGUGUUCUCACCGGUGCACUCCGCCCGGCUCAGGCCAGCAUCGGUUCUCGUGGGGGGAUAAAGGCCCUGGGAACGUAGCUCCUCCGGGAGUGUUAUAGCCCAGGGUGUAAUGCCCUCGCGGGGACCGAGGUUCGCGCAUCUGCAAGGAUGCUGGCGUAAUGGUCAUCAGCGACCCGUCUUGAAACACGGACCAAGGAGUCAAGGUUUUGCGCGAGUGUUUGGGUGUUAAACCCGCACGCGUAAUGAAAGUGAACGUAGGUGAGAGCUUCGGCGCAUCAUCGACCGAUCCUGAUGUAUUCGGAUGGAUUUGAGUAGGAGCGUUAAGCCUUGGACCCGAAAGAUGGUGAACUAUGCUUGGAUAGGGUGAAGCCAGAGGAAACUCUGGUGGAGGCUCGCAGCGGUUCUGACGUGCAAAUCGAUCGUCAAAUCUGAGCAU